Zingiber officinale is the source of this 927-nucleotide long non-coding RNA. RefSeq lists it as uncharacterized. The record is from RefSeq and is a predicted model, not a curated record. NCBI's taxonomy places the organism in Eukaryota, Viridiplantae, Streptophyta, Magnoliopsida, Zingiberales, Zingiberaceae. The transcript is spliced from 5 exons.
CAAAUAAGUCUACUAUGCAUGUUAGCAAUUGUAGACAGAGCAUGCAAAUUGAUGCAUCUGAUAGCCAGAACCCUUUUUUACUAACUGACCAAGUAGGUGACGAAGCAAAUGGAAGCCUGGCUUCUACUAUACCAGUCCAGGAUGCAUCGACAAUCAGUUAUUUUCAUCAGCCGCAUACAGCCUCUGUACCUUUUACCCAUCUCCACAAUGAUCAAGAUGUGUAUAGCAUGCCUCUUCUAAAUCAAUGUCAUCGUCUUCUUCUGGCUCUGAUGAUUGUGAUGGAAGAGAUGAGAUUUCUAAGGAACUUAAAGACACUGGAUCCAGCAAGAUAAAGACAUUAGCAGCUCACAGAUCUUCUGAUUUAGAUAAGGCUAUGAAUAAGAAGAAAGUGGAUCGCUCUUCUUGUGGAUCCAAUACUGCAUCAAGUAGUGAAGUAGAAGCAUACACCAUGGAGAAGAAACAUGAAAAAGUGAAUGACGAGGGGAAAAAAGACUACGGCAAUUUUUCAAAAUGUGGGUUCAACAAUUACAGGCUCAGAAGUAGCGGAAGUUUAAAUGAAUCGUUGAAGGUCUCUUCAGAGGUUGUAAUAUGAUAAUUUCUUGUUAACCCCCAUUAAUGCAGAAAAUACCAACCAAAGUCUUGAUGAGGCUUGGAAGGAGCUUCAAGAGUACUUGAUUCAAACUGAAGACAGUGGGCUACUAAGAAAAAGAAUUGCUAAUUUUGUAAUCAGGUUGUUGAAGUACCAAAUGUCAGCUGGGAUGAUAUUGGUGGGCUGGAAAAUGUCAAGAGGAAACUGCAAGAGAACAGUGGAUACUCAGAAAAUUAGGUAUUUGAAGAUGAAAAGUGGUGAGAUUAGGGAAAUGAAAGGCGCAAGAAGAAUGGAGCAGUAUAGCAAGUUGAACAGAUUCUGAUUCUCAUAAUUUAAUG